This 446-nucleotide ribosomal RNA is filed under the name uncultured bacterium. Its description in RNAcentral is "partial 16S ribosomal RNA". It matches the Rfam family "Bacterial small subunit ribosomal RNA", at positions 338 to 795 of the family's 1533-position model. The record is from RNAcentral.
CCUACGGGCGGCAGCAGUCGAGAAUCAUUCACAAUGGGGGAAACCCUGAUGGUGCGACGCCGCGUGGGGGAAUGAAGGUCUUCGGAUUGUAAACCCCUGUCAUGUGGGAGCAAAUUAAAAAGAUAGUACCACAAGAGGAAGAGACGGCUAACUCUGUGCCAGCAGCCGCGGUAAUACAGAGGUCUCAAGCGUUGUUCGGAAUCACUGGGCGUAAAGCGUGCGUAGGCUGUUUCGUAAGGCGUGUGUGAAAGGCGCGGGCUCAACCCGCGGACGGCACAUGAUACUGCGAGACUAGAGUAAGGGAGGGGGAACCGGAAUUCUCGGUGUAGCAGUGAAAUGCGUAGAUAUCGAGAGGAACACUCGUGGCGAAGGCGGGUUCCUGGACAUUAACUGACGCUGAGGCACGAAGGCCAGGGGAGCGAAAGGGAUUAGAUACCCUGGUAGUC